Long non-coding RNA from Rhineura floridana, 1076 nucleotides. RefSeq lists it as uncharacterized. Lineage: Eukaryota; Metazoa; Chordata; Lepidosauria; Squamata; Rhineuridae. The transcript is spliced from 3 exons. The record is from RefSeq and is a predicted model, not a curated record.
UCACAGAUGCUCUUCUGAGAGGAGAAAAGCCAUGUUUGUCAGAGGCAGCAUGCUACUGAACACCUGUUGCUGGGAACCGCAGGAGGUACAACCCACUUCUUCUCCAAAGAGCUCAAGGUGGCAUACAUGGUUCUUUCCCUCCCCAUAUAAUCCUCACAACAACCCUGUGAGCUAGGACAACAGGAGAGAGGGGGAAGCUGCACAACCGGGCAAAUAGGCGGUGGGAGCAGUUCCAAACUGGCAAUCAUAACCCUUUGAACUGUCAUUAGUGACUCUGCUGGGUAUAUAUAUAUCUUGGUCAGAACCGGACCUUCUUUGACUGAGUAACCAUUUAGCCAACAUGGUGUCCAAGCCAGUUUCUGGUCUAUGUUCACAUCUUGCCUGCCUCCCACCUAGCGCUGGAAUAAGCAGACUUUGUUAACUUGAUUCUCAUCAACUUUAACUCUGGGUGUUGUGACUGGAUGGUCUAAUUGGCUCCUCCUCCUGGUUCUUGUCUGUGAUGCUCCUCUUUGUGGUCCACUACUCCUCCUUCUAUGCAUUUUGCUGGUUAUGCUCAUUUCUCCUACUAGUAGGGUGGGUCUGUAAAGAUUCUUGUAGGGAAGGGGAGUUUCACUUGAUAUUGCCUUUUUUAAAAAAACAACAACUAGAAAUAUAGAACAUUUUAUGUGAGUAUAUAUAGCAUAUUUAAUGCAAAUAUCUGAAAGGCUUGGGUUGCUUUUAAUUAAAUACAGCUGCUUUUGCAUCUCUGCACAAUUACUCUUGGUGGAGGGCCCCUUUUUAUUCCCAGAAACCUUCUGCUAAGGAAGGAUCUUCAGAUUCUUUCACCCUAGUUGUAACCUCUCACUCACUUGCACAUGGGUGAUUUCCACCGACACUUGCCUAAAGAAUUAUUUAAAAGGUUUCCUUCAGUUGCUUGUAAACAGAUGCUCCCUCAAGUGGGACAGAUACAUCAUUGCACUGUGAGAUUUGCAUGUGAUUACUGGUGUGAUAACAGUAGACAACAACUCCAGAAGAGUUUACCAUGUCAAAACCCCCUCCCAAAUCUGAUGUCUCCCUAGUAUGGGAUGUUGUUUACA